CACCAGCCCCUCGAGUGGUGGGGAUGAUUAUUUGGCCUAAAGCGUCCGUAGCCGGCCGGGUAAGUUUCCCGUUAAAUCCAGCGUCUCAAGCGUUGGACUGCGGGAAAUACUGCCUGGCUGGAGAGUGGGAGAGGUCAGCGGUAUUCUGGGGGUAGGGGCGAAAUCCUUUGAUCCCCGGAGGACCACCAGUGGCGAAGGCUGCUGACUAGAACACGUCUGACGGUCAGGGACGAAAGCUGGGGUAGCGAACCGGAUUAGAUACCCGGGUAGUCCCAGCCGUAAACGAUGCAUGCUAGGUGUUGGGUUGGCCACGAGCCACCCCAGUGCCGCAGGGAAGCCGUUAAGCAUGCCGCCUGGGAAGUACGAUCGCAAGAUUGAAACUUAAAGGAAUUGGCGGGGAAGCACCACCAGGCGUGAAGCCUGCGGUUU
Molecule: ribosomal RNA, 429 nt
Filed under: uncultured archaeon
Lineage: Archaea
Description: bacterial SSU rRNA
Rfam family: Archaeal small subunit ribosomal RNA
Source: RNAcentral